AUUGAACGCUGGCGGAAUGCUUUACACAUGCAAGUCGAACGGCAGCGACGGGGCAACCCUGGUGGCGAGUGGCGAACGGGUGAGUAAUACAUCGGAACGUGCCCAAUCGUGGGGGAUAACGUAGCGAAAGCUACGCUAAUACCGCAUACGAUCUACGGAUGAAAGCGGGGGAUCGCAAGACCUCGCGCGAAUGGAGCGGCCGAUGGCAGAUUAGGUAGUUGGUGGGGUAAAGGCUCACCAAGCCGACGAUCUGUAGCUGGUCUGAGAGGACGACCAGCCACACUGGGACUGAGACACGGCCCAGACUCCUACGGGAGGCAGCAGUGGGGAAUUUUUGGACAAUGGGCGCAAGCCUGAUCCAGCCAUUCCGCGUGCAGGAUGAAGG
This 385-nucleotide ribosomal RNA is filed under the name uncultured bacterium. Its description in RNAcentral is "bacterial SSU rRNA". It matches the Rfam family "Bacterial small subunit ribosomal RNA", at positions 29 to 414 of the family's 1533-position model. The record is from RNAcentral.